CGACCUUUAUUAUCAACAGAGCUCUCAGUGUGAAGUAGGUGAACUUAACACAGUGGACGUCAUAGGAAGGGCUCUAGAAGAAGAGUCUGGACAAAUCAUGUCUCAGAGUAUCUCCUGGGUCUGAAUUUUUUUCUAGAAGUGUUCCUUAAUGGAACUUUCAGAUGGUCUGGAAGGGGACAUGCUGCUCUUUGAAAAGCAUAAAGGAGACAAUUAUCAUCCAAAGUGUGUGGCCAGCAGAAGAUGGCUUUAGGCCAGACUUCUUCGACAUUUUCAGGUGAGGAUGCUAAACGCAUAGAUGGAAAGUUUAUGAUCUCUGGAUUUAAGAGGGAUGGCCACACAGGUUCUGUGACGAGGCUGGGGCACCCAUAGUGUGCCAUUUUUCUUCCCUUUUCUGCGGAACUCCAGGCUUCCUUUCCCACUUACAUACUUUCAUUCUCUUGGCUGAGGUGUUUUCGGGUAUUUCUCAUCUCCCAGUGGCUCCCAGAGUCAGUCCAUUGCUCACCCACUCAGGAAGAGUCGUGCACGCUGUCACGUGCAUGAAGAGUGUGAGCACAGAAGACUGGGGUGCAAGCACCAGUCCUAAGAUGUUGGCUCAAGUUUAUGUGAUGCCAGGCCAAGCUCGGAGACACCAGCACCAACGUGGAGGGGUGUGAGCACGGAGGCACUAUGAGCAGUUGGCUGAUUAUGGUGGUGCCCAUUAUAUAGAAAGCAAGGAAGUGUGGCCCUGACUGACUUGAGUGCCCUCCUGGGAGUUCACACCACUGGCAUAGGUGAAGCGGAAGAUCUGGCUCCAGGGGACCGUUUGGAAUACUCCAUGGACACACAGCCCACUGCCCA
Peromyscus eremicus (cactus mouse) is the source of this 837-nucleotide long non-coding RNA. RefSeq lists it as uncharacterized. Lineage: Eukaryota; Metazoa; Chordata; Mammalia; Rodentia; Cricetidae. The record is from RefSeq and is a predicted model, not a curated record. The transcript has 3 exons.